UACGUAGGGUGAAAGCGUUAAUCGGAAUUACUGGGCGUAAAGCGUGCGCAGGCGGUUUUGUAAGUCUGUCGUGAAAUCCCCGGGCUCAACCUGGGAAUGGCGAUGGAGACUGCAAGGCUAGAGUUUGGCAGAGGGGGGUAGAAUUCCACGUGUAGCAGUGAAAUGCGUAGAUAUGUGGAGGAACACCGAUGGCGAAGGCAGCCCCCUGGGUCAAAACUGACGCUCAUGCACGAAAGCGUGGGGAGCAAACAGG
RNAcentral lists this ribosomal RNA (253 nucleotides) under uncultured bacterium. Its description in RNAcentral is "partial 16S ribosomal RNA". It matches the Rfam family "Bacterial small subunit ribosomal RNA", at positions 524 to 776 of the family's 1533-position model. The record is from RNAcentral.